This is a long non-coding RNA of Mirounga angustirostris (Northern elephant seal), 553 nucleotides long. RefSeq lists it as uncharacterized. The transcript has 3 exons. The record is from RefSeq and is a predicted model, not a curated record. NCBI's taxonomy places the organism in Eukaryota, Metazoa, Chordata, Mammalia, Carnivora, Phocidae.
AAGAUUAUUUUUAACUCUCAGUUGAGAAAAUUCUGUUUUCUGGCUCAGACACCUUUUAGAUUAAUAUGCUUCCUAAAAUUGAAAUGACUCAUCAGGAUCUGUACUUUGAAUGGGCUGUGGGCUUGGUUCACACAUCGCUCUUCAGAGAGCCGUUUGAUCUCAGCCUCCGGAGAAGUCCCUCAGCUACCCACAUGGAUAAUAGGGGAAACCUGAUGUAGGAGCUGUCAAGGACAAACCCCAAGCCGAGCAAAGUGUAAACUCUGUUAUCACUGAAGAAAGGCUUUGUGAGUAAAAGGGGAAGGGGUUUGGCAUUAAUUGGAACACUUGUCAGUCUCAGCAAAGAUGGAGAGGGAGAAAGAAAAGGAAACAAAAACAGGCUCUCAGACUGCGAAUGCGCCAUUUGACAGAAAAGCAUUUUCAGCGUUGGCAUUUCGAGGAAGGAGAGAGAAGAGAGGAAUAGUUAAAAAAGAGAAAGCUGGAGACUGGUAAAAAGAGUGAUGUCGAUGGUCCAACAGGAAGAGGCCUUUGCAAAGCAGCUUCGGGCACUGGGUAA